This 651-nucleotide long non-coding RNA is filed under the name Calidris pygmaea (Spoon-billed sandpiper). Its description in RNAcentral is "lncRNA (ENSCPGG00000007488.1)". Lineage: Eukaryota; Metazoa; Chordata; Aves; Charadriiformes; Scolopacidae. The record is from RNAcentral.
UAAACUAUUUGUGUAAAGAUUUAGGUAUGAAUAACUACAUUCAGCUAAUUAUCCCUGGGACACUGCUCUCAACUAAAUGCCAUUCUUUCCCUUCUUACAGGUGGUGAGAUCCCAGUCAAUCUGGAAGUGAACACAGCUCCUGUACAGCUGACAAACCUUCUACUCAAGUAUAGCUUUAUUGCAUUUUCUUACAUUGGGGUUAGAGAUCUAGCAGUUCAAAAGGUUCAGCUGUAGCCACAAACAACUCAUGGAAGUGGAAGACCACUGGAAUGAGGACAUGUGCUUUAGGUCAUCUGGAACAAUUUGUUCUUAACACAAGAGGCAAAGACAGAUGCAAGCCAGCAAAAUAUGGGAUAAUAAUGCAGCCUCCCUGGUGAUGGCAACACAAGCUGUGCAGCACCAGGACUCCGAGUCUCUUAAAGCCAAGAAGAAGCUGCGCUGUAGGGUUUUUUUUUGUGCUCCCUCCCACCUACAGCCUCAUCCCAGCAGUGCCAUGUUAGCACAUGAUCUGAUUUGGUGCUUUGAUUGACUGGAGAAAGAGGAGAUCUGUCCUGAUAUGGAAGGCUCGGCUCUUCCUCCUGCCUGUCUGUGGUGGAGUAAAAUCUGUCCUGUAAUAAUAAAAAUAAAAACAAAAUAUAAAAAGCUUAAACU